GCCGCGCCUAGAUCGGCCAAUCGAAAACGGGUUCUCUCACCCGCUGGCGCUGCUCUCUUUUUCGAGGG
Non-coding RNA from Ralstonia pickettii 12J, 68 nucleotides. The record is from Rfam. NCBI's taxonomy places the organism in Bacteria, Pseudomonadati, Pseudomonadota, Betaproteobacteria, Burkholderiales, Burkholderiaceae.